UACGGAGGGGGUUAGCGUUGUUCGGAAUGACUGGGCGUAAAGCGCGCGUAGGCGGAUCGUGAAGUUGGGGGUGAAAGCCCAGGGCUCAACCCUGGAAUUGCCUUCAAGACUCGCGGUCUAGAGUUCGAGAGAGGUGAGUGGAAUUCCGAGUGUAGAGGUGAAAUUCGUAGAUAUUCGGAGGAACACCAGUGGCGAAGGCGGCUCACUGGCUCGACACUGACGCUGAGGUGCGAAAGCGUAGGGAGCAAACAGG
RNAcentral lists this ribosomal RNA (253 nucleotides) under uncultured bacterium. Its description in RNAcentral is "partial 16S ribosomal RNA". It matches the Rfam family "Bacterial small subunit ribosomal RNA", at positions 524 to 776 of the family's 1533-position model. The record is from RNAcentral.